Molecule: long non-coding RNA, 760 nt
Organism: Tachyglossus aculeatus (Australian echidna)
Lineage: Eukaryota; Metazoa; Chordata; Mammalia; Monotremata; Tachyglossidae
Exons: 3
Source: RefSeq, a predicted model, not a curated record
UGGACUUCCCAAGCACUUAGUACAGUGCUCUGCACACGAGGUGUUAAACAAUCCCCAGAGACAGAGCAAAGCCAGAAGAAUCCUCAAAAACGCAAAAAGCCCCGGAGAACCUGUGAGAAGAGAUUUCUCAUGUCUGCCUGGCAGCAGGUACGGAUGCUUUACCCUGAAGUUGCAAUGUUGGGAGGCCGUGUGAAGCCAGACGUUCCGGUCUGAGCCCCGUUUCAGCCCUCCGUCUGACGAAGCCAUCUCGAGAACCCGGGCCGUGGAUCUGGAAGUGGACCAAGUGAGCAAGGGAGAGUCGUAUCAGUUUGUCGGCACUCGGACCACCUUCACGCCCUCCCGUUUCUGAACCCAAUCCUUCCCUCAGAGGACCCUCAGGCAGCCUGUUUCAGGCACUCAAACGGAAGACCAAAAAGUUGCGGGAAUCCGGGCCCCUGCGGAGGAAGGCACCGAGCUAGAAGCUUCCUCUUCUUUGGACCAAAAGGAAUCGACCCGGAGUAAUGCGGAUCCUCCCCUGACUCUUCCCUUCCCCGCUCCACGAUAUUUCCUCCCAAUUUUUCCCAGGCCUCGUAUACAUUCCGAGCCUCUGCCUGACACCGUGUCCUUCUGCCCCCCAGCACUGGUCUUCUGGAAGGGGUUGGCGCUUUCCCUCGGAGUGGACAUCGUGGGCCCCGGUACAUUCUGGGUGGGGUGCCUCAGGAUGUCCCUCUGGCCUCUCGCCUAGCGGCCCCUUCCCCUCUGGGAGCCGGGCACUCCCUCC